GAUCAUGGCUCAGGAUGAACGCUAGCGGCAGGCUUAACACAUGCAAGUCGAGGGGCAGCGGGAUGUAGCAAUACAUUGCCGGCGACCGGCGGAUGGGUGCGUAACGCGUAUGCAACCUACCUAUACAGGGGGAUAACCUUUCGAAAGGGAGACUAACACCCCAUAGUAUUGAUUUAAGGCAUCUUAGAUUAAUUAAAUAUUUAUAGGUAUAAGAUGGGCAUGCGUAUGAUUAGCUAGUUGGUAAGGUAACGGCUUACCAAGGCGACGAUCAUUAGGGGUUCUGAGAGGAAGGUCCCCCCACACUGGUACUGAGACACGGACCAGACUCCUACGGGAGGCAGCAGUGAGGAAUAUUGGUCAAUGGGCGCAAGCCUGAACCAGCCAUGCCGCGUGCAGGAAAAGACGGCCUUAUGGGUUGUAAACUGCUUUUACAUAAGACUAACCGUAUAUUUGCGAAUAUACCUGAAUGUAUUAUGAGAAUAAGGAUCGGCUAACUCCGUGCCAGCAGCCGC
RNAcentral lists this ribosomal RNA (512 nucleotides) under uncultured bacterium. RNAcentral's name for it is "bacterial SSU rRNA". It matches the Rfam family "Bacterial small subunit ribosomal RNA", at positions 15 to 518 of the family's 1533-position model. The record is from RNAcentral.